RNAcentral lists this unclassified non-coding RNA (213 nucleotides) under plant metagenome. RNAcentral's name for it is "partial contains small subunit ribosomal RNA, internal transcribed spacer 1, and 5.8S ribosomal RNA". The record is from RNAcentral.
UUUCCGUAGGUGAACCUGCGGAAGGAUCAUUCAUAAUAAGUGUUUUAUGGCACUUUUUUAAAUCCAUAUCCACCUUGUGUGCAAUGUCAGGGUUGAUUUUUCUCUCGAGAGGAUCAACCCCAAACAUCAACUAUAUCUCAACUCUUUGUCUGAAAAAUAUUAUGAAUAAGACAAUUCAAAAUACAACUUUCAACAACGGAUCUCUUGGCUCUC